Molecule: transfer RNA, 72 nt
Filed under: Panacibacter ginsenosidivorans
Lineage: Bacteria; Pseudomonadati; Bacteroidota; Chitinophagia; Chitinophagales; Chitinophagaceae
Description: tRNA-His
Rfam family: tRNA
About the family: Transfer RNA (tRNA) molecules are approximately 80 nucleotides in length. Their secondary structure includes four short double-helical elements and three loops (D, anti-codon, and T loops). Further hydrogen bonds mediate the characteristic L-shaped molecular structure. tRNAs have two regions of fundamental functional importance: the anti-codon, which is responsible for specific mRNA codon recognition, and the 3' end, to which the tRNAs corresponding amino acid is attached (by aminoacyl-tRNA synthetases). tRNAs cope with the degeneracy of the genetic code in two manners: having more than one tRNA (with a specific anti-codon) for a particular amino acid; and 'wobble' base-pairing, i.e. permitting non-standard base-pairing at the 3rd anti-codon position.
Source: RNAcentral
UGGCUUUAGCUUAACCGGUAAAGUGCCACACUGUGAAUGUGGAGAACAGGGUUCAAGUCCCGGAGUCAACCA